Molecule: transfer RNA, 68 nt
Filed under: marine eukaryotic metagenome
Rfam family: tRNA
About the family: Transfer RNA (tRNA) molecules are approximately 80 nucleotides in length. Their secondary structure includes four short double-helical elements and three loops (D, anti-codon, and T loops).
Source: RNAcentral
GUGUUUAGCUCAGUUGGUAGAGCGACGGCCUUACAAGCCGUAGGUCACAGGUUCGACCCCUGUAACAC